CAGCGAGAGGACAGGGACCCCACCGCAGCACCCUGGAGACGGACCGCUGUGCAAUGGACUGUGUGCGUGUGAGGAGGGUCGUAAAACGCGCGGUGAGGAAGAGGUUAAAUCCAUCUCAUCUGACGCUAAACAAGAAAUAAUGGUUUCUUUCUUCUCGCAAGCAACGGAAAGAGAAAGUCCCUCAUUUCCCUUUGCGGACAUCGGGUUCCUGAAUAACUCCCCGGAGUAGAUUCAUCAUCAUUACAUUAAAUCAGCCAUGGCCUCCAUCAGUGGUUCGUUUGCCUCAGUGUUAACUCAGCGGGAGCCGCAACAGGCUGUGAAUUCUACACGCAAACAAACAGAGAAAAUAACAACGACAACACACACUGAAUAAUUCUUUUGUGUACACUGGGGCGAACAGUGCCACCAAAAGGGAUCAUAUUUUAAUAUACAGCAUAGUGUGUAAUUCACAGAGACACUUUUAAUCCCCUAGGGGUCGUGGGAGAAUGUCUUUCUUGUUUCUUUUCUGUGAAUAUCUGUGCAUUUUCCGAGUGAGGCUGCUGAAUCCCUUAAUCGAAUCUCCUUUCAUCGGGCUUUCGUGGCGCGUGAGUGGAUUCUGCACAUCAGACAUUCAUCACACUUCUGACCCUGCAGGCUUCCCGUGGGCCAGAGGAGAGAAGGGAAACAAAUAGGAAACACGGUAUGUGCAACAACGCGUUUAGCUUCGCUUUAAAAUGUAACGGUGGAGAGAUGAAGCCCUCUCCGAUUCGAUGCAGACAUCCUCCCUGCCAUCAGAUCGGGACUACUUCAUAUUGUCAUUACAUGCAGUUUUAAUUAUUGUCCCUUCCAUGUGUCUGGGUAAAAAAAAAAUUAAAGAUAGUCUGCUAUGUAGGGGGGGCUUUGAUCUUCCUAUAUUAUCAAUGGGGGUUUGGGAACCACUAGCUUAUGCUAUGAACUUGAAAACACCCUAUAAACCAUAAAAACAUUUUUUUGUGUGCAAAAGAUUGUCCUAAUUGCCCGUGUGUUAAUUUAUAUGUCAAUUCAUAUUUUAAUUGUUUCAUCUCAUUCUGAUCCUCAGGCAAAGACUGUAUGUCAGACGUGGACGUACGGACAUCUGAACCGCGGAGGAGUGGGUGAGGACCGCCCUAAAGCGUACCCUGCUUCAUGGUCUAUUUGACUCUAGAUGGACCAUCAUUGACUAAAUAAACAUCAUGCCGUGUUGAAGUAGACUUGAAACCAGAGAUUGAGAUCAAAAACUCAUGUUUACAAUGUUUACUGAGGGAAUGAACCAAGAGAGAAGUAAAGUCCUUUCCUCAUAGACUAUCCUAUCAGUACUGUGUGCAAAAAGUAGAGGCUGCUUGAUGCUGUUGGUCGGAAUGUCCACCGGCGUCCAUUUGUUUCUAUCCCCUCCAGCCGACACGCAGUCCUCGCCUCAUACUAAACUGUCCCCUCCAGCCGACCGGAUACCAGCAGGAGGGUCAUUUGACCUUUCACCAACAUCACAGCAGCUCCUGUGUCCACCACACUGCUGAUAAUCUCCCCCCCGUUCAUUUAGAUCAAAUCUACACAUGCAUGCAAGUGGCUGCGACGACCAACUGCACGCAGGCGGUUGCAGGUCGUGAGCUUCCAGGUGGAUCAUUCCAGCCAGCUUGGUAUUCUGACGAAGGGAGUCUGGACUCACUAAUAGGAUUCUGGGUUUUUCUUCUCUCCGAGACAACGUGAGCAAUGGGGAGGUUAAUCUGUAUGUGUUUGAAGUCAGGUCUGCGCCUCAUUGACUUUCUUCACCUUCCCUUGGCUCUGUCUCCAUUGCGCGCACACACACACACACACACACACAUCGGUGCUUUGAACUGUGACUAAAGCUUUCUCUGCGUCUCUGUCUUUGAUCCUUGUUAAAAGGUUAAGGUGACUGCAGGGAUUGGGCAGAGCGGGGAGUGCGUGAAGUUUCACCAAAGUUUUCACCUCGGAUGAUGACGCACACAAAGGAGAAGGUGGUGUGACCCUCUGGCGUUCCCAUCUAAUGGAACUCCUCUGUUAGGUGGAUGCGCGGCUCGGCGCCCAGAGGGAGGACAUCACGCCACCGUCAUGGACGCCGAUCAUCUCCUGGUCAUGAACAGUCGUCUCAUGGUGCUUCCCCGCUUCAGAUGAGGCCCUAACAGCAUCUCCACGAAGACUCGUAGGAAACUGUGCCCCCCCCCCCCCCCCCCCCUCCCCAUGGUUCGAGCAAACUUCCGCUGCUUUGCUAAAUGUCGAGAGAAGAUGAAGCAGGUUUUCCGUUAGAAUCUGACUGGGAGCUCAGGCUGUCGUUGUGAUGUCGGCCAUGGCACAUGGCAGAUGGAGACGGGUUUGGCAUUAGCAUAAUUUUCCCACCGACCGUUUUCUCGCAAAUUCCUGCGUGGGAACGAGAAGACACACAGAUUCUGGAGCUCAUUACACUGUGGCAGCGUACACCAGUGUGUGUACGUCUGUGCGAGAGUGACUUAUUACGGCGAUGCACUGCUCAUCAUUGUUAUAGCGGUGCACAUUAGGCAGGGGAGCCUUGUGCUUAACGAGACGAGGCUUUUCAUCGAGCUUCAGCAUCCCCUCGUCAUGGCAACGCUCUGCUGAUCCUUUCACCUCUUCCCAUUGUUUUAUUUCUGCUGCCGCAGCCUCUCGGUCCGUCGGGUUCUCGCUGUUUCUUCCCCAACGUCAUUGAGCCACCGCUUUUCCUCUCGCGUAAUUCUUUUCUCUGCCCUUUUUUCCCGCAAUCCAUCCGGUCUGAGGCUUCUCCAUCCCUCCCUACGUCGUACCCUGUGACCCGGAGGAGCCAGUACAGAGACAUCAGCAUAAAUAACAUAUGAGGUGGUGUAGUAUUACCACAUACUCACACACACACCAUUGGCCUCUCCACAGUCUUCCAUCAGGAGCAGGGGAAUACAAUACAACGGUUCCCUGGGGAGGAUGUUCAUGUUUCCCUUAAAGGAGAAAAACAAUUGAGAAGACAACGAAUGAAUUGAAAGAGAAAUGUAGAUAGUUAUGAGUAGAACGUGCAGAUAGUAAAUACAUCUGUAUUACCUCUUUAUGACACCUGGAUAUAAAUGAGAACUUGCUGAAAAAUGUAUGGGGAAAUUAGCUGUCUGCGCAUUAAUAUUUGAAUAAAUACCAGAUUUACAAUAGCUUUCUGUGAGGCCAGCUGUGAGGCAGCCAUGAAUAUUUCACCAUAAUGAACGCCCUGUUGGAGGAGAAAGGCCUGAACUCUGUGAAUAUUUUACGAAAUGGAUCUAAACUACUCUCUGAAAGAUUGGAUUACCUAACUCGAACAUCACAAUGUGCUUGAUGUUUUGACCCGCGGAAAAGAGAUUAAAAAAAAGGGGAGACAUCAUUUUCAUUCCAAAUAUGAAACAUUGCUGUUGAAAUAAUGACGGUUUCCCUGCAGUUUCUCUGGUUUCCUCCCACAGUGGUGACAGACAUGCUGCCUUAGUUAAUGGAUUGCUCUCAACGCCCUGUGAUCAGUGCUUUGCUCAGGCCGACAUGUCGUUGAGAGUCGGGACCCGUCGACAGCUUCUUUCACUUACAUUUGAAAAAAGCCCCCAUCAUGUUUUGCAGAGGCCAUAAUGAGCGCUGCAAACAUGUUUACCUCCGAACAGUAAUUGGUUUCCAUGAACAUGUUUUCCCUGUAUAUACUGUCCAUUUAUAAUCUAUCAUAACAUUGUAGCAAUGGGACUGCAUCCCCCACGAGAAAACCUGUCUGUUUGAAACAAAAGGAAUCCAGUUUGCUGCAGCGCAGCGUUUGUUGCAAGUUGCAUUUGUCCCAUGGUGCAAAAAGUGUUCAUCUGACUGAAAGCUAAGAAGACAGGGGAGAAGACAAAUGCAGCACAGAUGUGCAAAGCUAAUUAGCAGGAAGCCCACAUGGACUCAAACAUGCAUCUACUAAUUACUGACUUAGCAGAGAUAAAUACCUCCACGUUCCAGGUAGCCUUUAAAUAGCAGACCCUCAAACACAAAAGCACACGACAAGAUGGCAACAAGGCAGCAAGGAUGAAGUGACAGGACAGAAAAGUGUGAAGUAUCUGGAGGAGCGACGGGGAGAGCGUGACAGGUGAGCAGGUGGUCAGGUGACGGGUGGGGAAAGGAGGGAAAGUCCUUUGGUGAGAGUGAAAAGGGCAUGAAUUGGGAUUGGGGAAUUCGGGGUGUAGCUUGAGAAUGCCGCGGUGAAACAUGUACACGUCCAACAUCUUAACCGAUGCUUCAAAGCUGAAGCUGGUGGCACUUAAUUCAGAGAGGCUGAACCUUUCGUUGCCUUCUGUGAGGCCAAGCACAAGGCUAGACCUGUUUAUAACGAGCCCUACCAAUCACUGCCCAUUAGUAUUACAAUGCAGUCCUGUAAGUAUGUGUAAUGAUAUGGAUGGUACAGCGAAGCAAAGUUAGAGAUCAUUUCUUUAUCAUGAACACCGAAAUUUUGUCUUUACAAACUUCUUUUCCAAGGCCGAACUUUAAAGGAUACAAAACAACGGUAGACCCAUUCACAUUAGGCCUUAACCGGACCAUUUAAUUGCCAUCUCCUCAUCACCUUAUUGUAUUGAACAGGUAGCCUAUUAAAAGACAUAGUAUUUUAAUCAACCAUCUUAUUAAAAGACCAUUAAGCUCUUCUCAUUCUUUUCAGGAGGUUUUAUAUUAGAAUGAAAUGUUAUAAGUACGCUACAAUUAUCAGAAACAUACAAACAUCCAUGCGGUUUAAAGGUGUACUGGAGGUUUAAUUGUUAAAUUAAAUUGUUUUUUCAUCUUGAGCCCUGAACACAUCCAUGCCUGUUAACCUGCUUGAUCCCAUGACAGCUUGACCAAUGAACUGGUACACAUGAAUGAAUACAACACUUGCAGACCAUAGUGUUUGGAAUAUUUCACUGCACUGACGGUGGAGCCGGCAUAAUUACCAGCUCCCUUGGCGGGGUUUAGCAUUUUAAAGGAAACAAUGAGGUCAGCUGACAGGCUGCACGCUAGAGACACAGGAUCCUUGCAGGAGUUGGGAGCAUCAGCUGUGCCGGCCUGUUUGGCAGCACCUCAGGCAACGAUAGCCUCAUGUCACCCACUGGUCCACUAUUCACAUGGAAGAGACAGGACGAUGUCCAUUAUUCAUACCAGGCCUGUGAUCGCUUUCUAUCAAAGUAUCUUACAGCAGGAGCCAAGGAAAGUCAAGGUCAAGUCUUUAACCUGGAGUCCCAGUCAAGUCUCAAGUCUUUAACCUGUAGUCCCAGUCAAGUCUCAAGUCUUUAACCUGUAGUCCCAGUCAAGUCUCGGGUCUUUAACCCGGAGUCCCAGUCAAGUCUCGGGUCUUUAACCCGGAGUCCCAGUCAAGUCUCGGGUCUUUAACUUGGAGUCCCAGUCAAGUCUCGGGUCUUUAACCCGGAGUCCCAGUCAAGUCUCGGGUCUUUAACCCGGAGUCCCAGUCAAGUCUCGGGUCUUUAACUUGGAGUCCCAGUCAAGUCCCAGGUCUUUAACUUGGAGUCCCAGUCAAGUCUCAGGUCUUUAACUUGGAGUCCCAGUCAAGUCCCAGGUCUUUAACUUGGAGUCCCAGUCAAGUCCCAGGUCUUUAACUUGGAGUCCCAGUCAAGUCCCAGGUCUUUAACUUGGAGUCCCAGUCAAGUCUCAGGUUUUUAACUUGGAGUCCCAGUCAAGUCUCGGGUCUUUAACCUGGAGUCCCAGUCAAGUCUCGGGUCUUAUAUGUAUUUAUAAAUAACACCACAUGACUGCAGACUGCAGACUAGUGCUGACAAACACUGCGACACGCAAACGGCAAUUAGCAGCCGCUUCAUCUCCGGGGUCCAGGCUGUCUGCGGUCUGAUGUGUCCUCCCCCGUCACAUCGCUCACCUGACACCAUCCGACACCAUCUGACACCAUCUGUCAGAGCGCUACAGAGAAAGCGAAGGAAUUAAUGUUGGAGUCGAAAUCCAGCUGUUUCUGAGUGAAUGCAGGCUGCAUGAAAGAAUAAGGCAUGACGUAUUGUUUUUAAAAAAAAACGUUUUUUGAACCACAAAUUCUUUUAUAGCUGUAGCUGCUAAUGUGGUGCACACGGUUCCUGGAGCCUCGUGGGUGGAGGCUGACUAAUCCGUGGCCGUGCUCGGUACAUACUGCCAUCAAACACUGAUUGUAUCAAAAGUGUUGGUAUAGUUUUCUGAUCGAAACACGAGGAACAAAAAGUUAUUACUCUAGUUUUCAAAUCGCACAUGGAGUUCUCUUUAGUAGUAUAUUGAAUUGGUUUUGCUUCUUUUGGAGGCUGGACAUAAUGUUAAGUAAUUUAAUGCAACGUAGAUUGUGUUAUUGUUCAGUGAAAUAAAACCGCACUCACACUAAUUCACAUCAGGUGCACAGUCUCACCUUUUGGCUUUCUCUAAAAGUAUUUUGUUUUGAUUUUCCACAUGGAUAUAAACAGUCUGCCAUUUCUCCUGGAUUCGUCCAGCUUUCAAUAACAGCGACUGAGACUUUCAGAGUUUACUGCAGAAACAGUGGCUUUUGAGACUUGCUUGUUGCUUUUAAUGUGACAGUUUGUCAUACAAACAGGAUUGUGUCUUCAUUUUUCCAUCUUUUUGUUGAUUUUCACAGGCUUACAUACUUAUGAUUGUAUACGGAGACUCAAAACAUUCAUAAGACGUGGAAGAAGGAGCUGGCUACUCUGCAGAAAUACCUUCUCAUGCAGUGUAUGAUGCUGACAGAAAUACAUGGCAGCGACAAGCAGUCCUGAGUCCUGCGAGUGCCCACAAAUGUGAUCACGAACAAUCUUCCCCUUAUAGAUCACGACCUGUUCAAUCAAUAUGAGCCUAUUUCGCUUCACAGCGCCUGUUGUGAAUUUCAUUACCAUGGUUUGUCAUUUUCUGAGUGCGUUGCCAGCAAAAGAGUUUGAGAAACAUGGUUUACAGCUAAUGUCAUUGCUAAUGUCAUCAUGCUAACAUCAUGGAAGGCCACCACUGAGAGAGCACCAGGUUUUGAAGAUGAAAUUGUGUCAGUUGAUUCAAGCAAAACAUGUGUCGACAUCUCUGGACGAAGAGAAUGUUGGCCUGGUUUUGUCUUUGCAGACCAGUGGAAGAAAUGUUCCAUGAAUACGUUUCAUAUAAAUGUGUAUCCUGCUUAAAAAGAUCACAAUGUGAAGCGAUUGAUGAGGGUUAGGCAACAACAUUACUUGGUAACGGUUUGAAAAAGGUUCAUGAUUGGUUUUACAAAGAAUCAUUGAAUGACAUGAUCUGAUAUAUUGUUUUGUCGGCACAAGCCUGCAAAUAAAAACCAGCCACCCUGAGCAGCUUUCAUGACAUUAUGUAACAAGUGUAAACUCAAUGUGUACUUUUAGUUUCACAUAGGACACGAACAGCCGUCUCCUGGGGCAUGUUUUGUUUUACCAAAUUCAUUGUACAGAGUAACCUGUUUACUAGUAAUCCUGCAAGCGAUAAUUAUUUAAAUGUGCACGUAAACACAAAUCAACGUUUCCUUUGUAUCCUGAACGCCAAAAAAAAUCGUGGCAACAGGGCGUCACCAUUGCUACGGUAACCGGAUGAGGAGAGAUCCUGUUCAAGCCUGUUUAACAAAACUUGUUAGCAAGUGUCACAUCACAGAAGAGCCGUCGUAUUCAAAUUCAGGACUCAGCGCUCCGAAUGUUGAGCUCAGAGCGUCUGAAAGGGAAACAGACAAGAGAAGAAAAGGGGAGCAGGAAUCAGAAGAAAGAGCAGGACAGGCUCGAGGCGUUGACCUGUCUUGCAUCCACUUCCCUAAUAUGGAGAGCAGCUUAUUAUCGGUGGCCCUCUGUCACCCGCUUUGAAAAUAUCAUUAUCAGCUGAAAAUGUGUAAAUAAUUUUCAAUCAGGGAGAGUCAACUUCAUCUUUCACAUGAUUGUGCUAAUAGUGUCAUAGUGUAGACAAGCGAGUACAAGAACCAACGCAUUUUUACAUUAGAUUUAAAAAGUCCCAUUUUCUCGUGCCCUGAUGAUAGCGGGCUGAUGGAGCCUGGCAAUUGUAGUGGCACAUUAUGGAUUUAAAAUAUUUUCAUUCAAACAUGCACCGUGUGCACUUUCAAGAUAAAAAUGUGUGUUGUGGCAGCACAACGCAGCAACCUCCGGUUCUACACAGCGAAGCCGUGCGUCCUCUCUGCUGACUAUCAGGGGGAGAAAAGGACUCUACUUCUCUCUUGACUUGGUCUCUGAGUAAACACUGUAAACAUGAGUUUAUGGCCUCAAUCAGUGGCGGCUGGUAACAAACGUUGUAGCCAUCCAAUCAUUUUCAGCAUCCCAGCAUGCACAACAACUAAAUAUGCAUUACUACUUUACUGUAUAUAUAUAUACAGUAUAUACGUAUAUAUAUACAUAUAUAUAUAUGAAGCUUAGGCGAAAAUUCAGUCAGGAAGGCUGGACAGACUGUGCCGUUCCCUGGUGGCCUCCUCUCUCCUUGUGGGUGCACGGCCAGCUGAUUAGGGGCGGGGUCGGGUAGUACCAGCCAACCAGACGUGGGUGCCGUUACCGUAAACAGAUUGCAUCGGUGCAGGCAAACGUUAAAAACUGUUCUCCUCUCUUUUGCUGUCAGUUGUCAUUUCAGCACGCACCAAAGACGACCCGCCACCACCCCUGAAGCCUCCAAUCUACAGCAGAACCUGGCAUAUUUAUUUCCUGUCUUAUUGUGUAGUUUUCUGCUUCUUGUCUCCCUGGGUAUCUUCACUUCCUGCCUCGUCCUGUCGUCCCCCUGUGAUUGUCUGAUUGUUUCUACCUGUGUCCAAUCACCUGCACCUCCCUGUGUAUUUAAGCAGUGUGUGUCUCUUGUGACUUGUCGCGUCAUUGUCUAUCGUCCUGGAUGUCUCUAGUUCCUGCCAGCCUUUUUUUCCCCCGGUACCUGUAUGCGUUUUUGCCCCUUGGCCAUUUUGUGUUGGAGUUUAUGACUAUUA
Long non-coding RNA from Gasterosteus aculeatus aculeatus (three-spined stickleback), 8872 nucleotides. The record is from Ensembl. Lineage: Eukaryota; Metazoa; Chordata; Actinopteri; Perciformes; Gasterosteidae.